UCAUUUUCAACUUUGCUUAAAUGUCAUUUAAACAUAUCCUAGAAAGGAGAUGUGGUCCAUUUUAAGAGUAAAUAAUGCAAAAUUUUGAUCCUUUUCCUUUCAGAUACCAUAAUUUUUUUUGAAUAGUUCUUCGGAUUCGAAACACGUAGGUUCCGACACCGGCGAGCUUGCUGGAUUAGUGCUUUACUUUGGGGCAUCACUAAAAUCUUCGUUGGAGAUCCAAUUCGAGCGACAUGUGUAUCUCUGGAAGAUCCAGAUUUGGCCAUUGGAAACAAAUUAAACCACUAAUGUUUGUUGUUGGUAGGUUUAUUUUGCAGCAAUUUGGGGUUAAUAUUUUAUGACAGUUAGUGUUGUAGAGGGUUGGGGGUGGAGAUUAUGAGGAAGAAAAAUGAUGGCAAGAGUUAGUUUGUGAAGAAGACAGCAUGGGCUUCCUUUGUUCUUCUCCUUUUUGGCAUACGAAGACGGAAGGGAAGGGGAGUCACAAGGAAAAUGACGAAAAGGGGGUUGGGGUUCUUGUUAUUUUUUUAUUUUCUUUUUCUUUUUAAAACUUUUAUUUAUUUAUUUAAGUUAAA
This 572-nucleotide long non-coding RNA is filed under the name Nicotiana benthamiana. Its description in RNAcentral is "long non-coding RNA (NBEN_LNC014416)". The record is from RNAcentral. Lineage: Eukaryota; Viridiplantae; Streptophyta; Magnoliopsida; Solanales; Solanaceae.